CAAUAGCGUAUAUUAAAGUUGUUGCAGUUAAAAAGCUCGUAGUUGGAUUUGUGGCGUACGGUGUGUUCCCGGCACUUGUUGUCUGAGUAACCUGCUGUUGCCAUCCUUGGGUGGAACCUGUGUGGCAUUAGGUUGUCGUGCAGGGGAUGCCCAUCAUUUACUGUGAAAAAAUUAGAGUGUUCAAAGCAGGCUUAUGCCGUUGAAUAUAUUAGCAUGGAAUAAUGAGAUAGGACUUUUUUGCUAUUUUGUUGGUUUGCGCAAAGAGGUAAUGAUUAAUAGGGACAGUUGGGGGUAUUCGUAUUCCAUUGUCAGAGGUGAAAUUCUUGGAUUUUUGGAAGACGAACUACUGCGAAAGCAUUUACCAAGGAUGUUUUCAUUAA
RNAcentral lists this ribosomal RNA (380 nucleotides) under uncultured eukaryote. Its description in RNAcentral is "partial 18S ribosomal RNA". It matches the Rfam family "Eukaryotic small subunit ribosomal RNA", at positions 592 to 976 of the family's 1831-position model. The record is from RNAcentral.